UAAACAUUGACAGUUAGUAACACCCACUGUCCGCCUGGGAACUACGAGCACCAGCUUAAAACCCAAAGGACUUGGCGGUGCUUUAGACCCACCUAGAGGAGCCUGUUCUAGAACCGAUAAUCCCCGUUAAACCUCACCCUUCCUUGCCAUUUCCGCCUAUAUACCACCGUCGUCAGCUUACCCUGUGAAGGCCCCAUAGUAAGCACAAUCGGCAAUGCCCAAAACGUCAGGUCGAGGUGUAGCGAAUGGAAGGGGAAGAAAUGGGCUACAUUUACUGACUCAGUAAAUACGGAUGAUUACCCUGCAACGAGUAUCUGAAGGAGGAUUUAGCAGUAAGCAAAAAAUAGAGUGUUUUGCUGAAGUUGGC
This 367-nucleotide ribosomal RNA is filed under the name Chaetodon baronessa (eastern triangular butterflyfish). Its description in RNAcentral is "partial 12S ribosomal RNA". It matches the Rfam family "Bacterial small subunit ribosomal RNA", at positions 801 to 1372 of the family's 1533-position model. Lineage: Eukaryota; Metazoa; Chordata; Actinopteri; Chaetodontiformes; Chaetodontidae. The record is from RNAcentral.